RNAcentral lists this long non-coding RNA (1054 nucleotides) under Sorghum bicolor (sorghum). RNAcentral describes it as "long non-coding RNA (SBIC_LNC013637)". The record is from RNAcentral. Lineage: Eukaryota; Viridiplantae; Streptophyta; Magnoliopsida; Poales; Poaceae.
UAGAAUAUAUCAAGUGGAAAAUGGUCUAUCCCAGAGCAUCACCUAUGGCAAAAAUUACAAAGAUGCUUCUCACCCUUAUGAUCAUUAUUCUUCUCCACACCACUCGCACCAGUAUCUGCAGCCAAGGUUUGUAUAUAUAUAUAUAUAUAUAUAUAUAUAUAUAUAUAUAUAUAUAUAUAUAUAUAUAUGCAGCGCUAUUCUACACCAAACUGUUAUACUGAACAGAAUUCAGUAUUGUUCACUAUUUUGUGGUACUCUACACCCUAGGUGUAGAAUACUAUUCUACACCAAACUGUUAUACUGAACAAAAUUCAGUAUUGUUCAGUACAUGUGUUUCAGUAUUUCAGGGUCCUGGGUGUACUCAUAAAUGAUACUGAACGUUGUUCAGUAUUGUUUAGUAUUUUUUCUACUCAAAUUUGACUUGCGGUGUAGAAUAAUAUUCUACACCUAGACUGUAGAAUAAUAUAUAUAUAUAUAUAUAUAUAUAUAUGCGUCAUGACUUGUUAAUAAAAAUACAUUGCCUGAACGUGAAAAGUUGAAAUUUAGCUGAUCAGUGAAUGUUAACAUGUGAGACAAGGAUAGCCACUAUUUUCCAAACUUUUUUUCGCUGAAUCACAUGGAUACCAAAUACAAACUGAAUUCCUACGAUGUAAUUGCUUAUUUCUCUAUCACUAUGUACACAACUUUUUCUUUUCACACAAGAAAUACAAAUACUGAGUACAUGUGACUAACAGGCGAUGCAGUGUUUGACGGCAGCAUCACAGGACACAACGCAUUAGAGUCUACAGAAACAUUCUGGCCACUGAACACACAAACACGGAAAGUAUGUGCACCAUGCGAAUGUUGCUCUGGGAACAAUUGCUACACCGCGCCUUCAUGUUGCUUAGAGCUAAUGUGCAAUCAACCCCAUAGACCAGUAGGCAGUUGUAUAACAAUUAAACGCUCUUGUACUUGUACCAAUUGUAGUUAAUCGCUGGUACCUUUGGUCAUAAUAACUACAAUUGACCAAAACUGAAUGCCAACAAAGCAUAUUCAGUUUCAAGCUAAUUAAUUG